GUGAAUCAUCAAAUCUUUGAACGCAAAUUGCGCUUUCUGGUAUUCUGGAAAGUAUGCCUGUUUGAGGGUCAGUUAAAUACUCAUCGGUGUUGUUGCUGGUUUUCGUGGUGACGCGUGGGAAUUGAGUUGUCUUACCUUCGGUUAAGUGACUUAAAAUUUUGCUUGAUUUUCGAUCGUAUUUAAAUUUCUUACUUACGUUUGAGAUAUGGACUUGUUUAUUAGGUUCGGUAAUCCUCUUGUUUAGCUUCUAUA
Molecule: unclassified non-coding RNA, 252 nt
Filed under: Glomus sp.
Lineage: Eukaryota; Fungi; Glomeromycota; Glomeromycetes; Glomerales; Glomeraceae
Description: partial contains 5.8S ribosomal RNA and internal transcribed spacer 2
Rfam family: 5.8S ribosomal RNA (bases 1-71)
Source: RNAcentral